RNAcentral lists this ribosomal RNA (471 nucleotides) under uncultured Ochrobactrum sp. Its description in RNAcentral is "bacterial SSU rRNA". It matches the Rfam family "Bacterial small subunit ribosomal RNA", at positions 911 to 1382 of the family's 1533-position model. Lineage: Bacteria; Pseudomonadati; Pseudomonadota; Alphaproteobacteria; Hyphomicrobiales; Brucellaceae. The record is from RNAcentral.
UGACGGGGCCCGCACAAGCGGUGGAGCAUGUGGUUUAAUUCGAAGCAACGCGCAGAACCUUACCAGCCCUUGACAUACCGGUCGCGGACACAGAGAUGUGUCUUUCAGUUCGGCUGGACCGGAUACAGGUGCUGCAUGGCUGUCGUCAGCCCGUGUCGUGAGAUGUUGGGUUAAGUCCCGCAACGAGCGCAACCCUCGCCCUUAGUUGCCAGCAUUUAGUUGGGCACUCUAAGGGGACUGCCGGUGAUAAGCCGAGAGGAAGGUGGGGAUGACGUCAAGUCCUCAUGGCCCUUACGGGCUGGGCUACACACGUGCUACAAUGGUGGUGACAGUGGGCAGCGAGCACGCGAGUGUGAGCUAAUCUCCAAAAGCCAUCUCAGUUCGGAUUGCACUCUGCAACUCGAGUGCAUGAAGUUGGAAUCGCUAGUAAUCGCGGAUCAGAAUGUCACGGUGAAUACGUUCCCGGGCCUU